UUCCUACGGGAGGCAGCACAGGGCUCCUACGGGAGGCAGCAGUGGGGAAUAUUGCACAAUGGGGGAAACCCUGAUGCAGCAACGCCGCGUGAGCGAUGAAGGCCUUCGGGUCGUAAAGCUCUGUCCUCAAGGACGAUAAUGACGGUACUUGAGGAGGAAGCCCCGGCUAACUACGUGCCAGAGCCGCGGUAAUAAUACGUGCCAGCAGCCGCGGUAAUAA
Molecule: ribosomal RNA, 220 nt
Filed under: uncultured bacterium
Lineage: Bacteria
Description: partial 16S ribosomal RNA
Rfam family: Bacterial small subunit ribosomal RNA
Source: RNAcentral